Molecule: unclassified non-coding RNA, 275 nt
Filed under: Bombus terrestris (buff-tailed bumblebee)
Lineage: Eukaryota; Metazoa; Arthropoda; Insecta; Hymenoptera; Apidae
Description: misc RNA ENSBTSG00005034193.1
Source: RNAcentral
AAGAAGAAAAGGUAUACAAGAAAAAUAGUAAUCAGAUAUACGUGUUAAACGAUUAUAAUUUCAAGCUGUGCUGGGAAAUUGGUCGGACGUUGCAAUUACGAAUAGCGUCCACCGCGACACAUUAUCUGUAUCGCAUUUGUGUAGCAAGCGCGAUAAUAACGGGCGCGAAAUUCAUUGGACAGCACGAAGUGUAGAAACGUGCACUCGAAUAAACUCGAUGAGUCAUUUUACGAAAGGUGUGUAAUCUGCAAAAUCCAUAAUAACCCGAUUUGAUU